UGGCUAACUCCUACGGGAGGCAGCAGUGGGGAAUAUUGGACAAUGGGCGAAAGCCUGAUCCAGCCAUGCCGCGUGAGUGAUGAAGGCCCUAGGGUUGUAAAGCUCUUUUACCUGGGAAGAUAAUGACGGUACCAGGAGAAUAAGCCCCGGCUAACUUCGUGCCAGCAGCCGCGGUGAUACGAAGGGGGCUAGCGUUGUUCGGAAUCACUGGGCGUAAAGGGCGCGUAGGCGGCGUUUUAAGUCGGGGGUGAAAGCCUGUGGCUCAACCACAGAAUUGCCUUCGAUACUGGGACGCUUGAGUCUGGUUGAGGUUGGUGGAACUGCGAGUGUAGAGGUGAAAUUCGUAGAUAUUCGCAAGAACACCGGUGGCGAAGGCGGCCAACUGGACCAGUACUGACGCUGAGGCGCGAAAGCGUGGGGAGCAAACAGGAUUAGAAACCCCAGUAGUCCAGCUGG
This 456-nucleotide ribosomal RNA is filed under the name uncultured bacterium. RNAcentral's name for it is "bacterial SSU rRNA". It matches the Rfam family "Bacterial small subunit ribosomal RNA", at positions 329 to 803 of the family's 1533-position model. The record is from RNAcentral.